Molecule: ribosomal RNA, 3235 nt
Filed under: Durio zibethinus
Lineage: Eukaryota; Viridiplantae; Streptophyta; Magnoliopsida; Malvales; Malvaceae
Description: eukaryotic LSU rRNA
Rfam family: Eukaryotic large subunit ribosomal RNA
Source: RNAcentral
AAGUCAAGUGAGAUUUGCUAAGUUUAAACAUAUCAAUAAACAUAGGAAAAGAAUCUUACUAGGAUUCCCUUAGUAACGAUGAGUGAACUAUAAAUAGCCCAACUUGAAAAAUGGGUGCCUUUGAUGUUCGAAUUAUAGUUUGGAGAACCAUCUUCAGUGGUAAACAAGCCCAAGUCCGCUAGAAAGGGGUGCCAAAGAGAGUGAGAGUGCCGUUGUGCCUGGACUAUAUUAUACCAUGAGGUGCUGCCUGUAAGUCAGGUUGUUUAGGAAUGAAGCCUAAUUGGGCAUUAAAUUUUGUCCAAGGUUGAAUAUAGAUGAGAGACUAAUAACGAACAAGUAAUGUGAGGGAAAGAUGAAAAGGAUUUUAAAAAAAAGUCAAAGAGUGCUUAAAAUUGUUGGUAGGGAAGCAAAUAGAGGUCAAUGAUGUGCCCCAGUUAGAUGUGGAAUAGUAAGAGCUGAUUCAUUGAUCGGCUUGAGGCAUGGAUUGAUGCAAGUCACAGAGGUGGCCUAAGCCUAGGCUUUUUUUAUGUCCAUGAAGACAUCGUUGGCAUAAUCAUGGAAUGCAGCACAUGCCAUCUUUGUGUUCCUCGACACCAUUGUGCUCUCGACAUUAGCCUAUGGGCUCCCCAUCCAACCCAUCUUGAAAUACAGACCAAAGAGUCUAACAUGUGUGCAAGUAAACAGGUAAGGAAACCCACAAGGCACAAGGAAGUUGAUUGGCAGGAUCCCUCAUAGGUGCACCACCGACCAACCUUGAUCUUUUGAAAAAGGUUCGAGUGUAAGCAUGCCUAUUAGGGCCAAAAAGAUGGUGAACUAUGCUUGAGCAGGGUAAAGCCAAAGAAAACUCUGGUGGAGGCCCGUAGUGAUACUAAUGUGCAAAUCGUUCAUCUGACUUGGGUAUAAGGGCAAAAGACUAAUUGAGCCAGUCAAUAGUUAGUUCCCUUCGAAGUUUCCCUCAGGAUAGUUGGAGCCUUUAGCGAGUUCCAAUGGGUAAAGCCAAUGAUUAGAAGAAUUGGGGGCAUAUUGCCUUUGGCUUAUUCUCAAACUUUAAAUAGGUAGGAUGGUUUGGCUACUUCAUUGUGCCAUUCCAUGAAAUCGAGAGCCCCAAGUGGGCCAUUUUUUGUAAACAAAACUAGAGAUGCUUGAUGAACUAGAAACUAGGUUACGAUGCCUAACUAUGCACUAACCUACAACCCACAAAUGGUGUUGGUUAAUUGAGACAAUAGGAUGGUGGUCAUAAAAGUUAAAAUCCACUAAGGAGUGGGUAAUGACUCACCUACCAAACCAACUAGCCCUGAAAAAUGGAUGGAGCUUAAGUGCAAGACCUAUACCCGACCAUCGGGGCAAGGGCUAGGCCCCAAUGAGUAGGUGGGCAUAGUGGUCACCACAAACCUAAAGUGUGAGCUUGGAUGGAAUGGCUGUCAAAGUAGAUCUUAGUGGUAGUAGCAAAUAUUCAAAUGAGAACUAUGAAGGCUGAAGAGGGAAAAGGUUCCACAUGAACAAAACUUGCACAUGGGUUAGUCGAUCCUAAGAGACAGGGGAAGCCCAUAAGAUAGUGCAUCUGGCAUGAUCUUUAAAAGGGAAUUAGGUUAAAAUUCUUGAAUUGAGAUGUGCUUACUAACAGUAGCAUUAGAAAGUUUAGAGAGAUUCAUAGGUGCCAUAGGAAGAGUUAUCUUUUCUGUUUAAUGGCCUACCCUUUAGAAAUAGCUCAAUUGAAAGUAGGGUCCAGUGAUUAGAAGAGCACCGCAUGUCAUGUGGUGUCUGAUAUGCCCUUGGCAGCCCUUGAAAAUCUAGAGGAUUGAGUGCUGUCUAUGCUCAAUCGUACUCAUAACCACAUUUAGUCUCCAAGGUGAGCAGCGUUUGGUUGAUGUAAUAAUGUAGGCACAGGAAGUUGGCAAACUGGAUUCAUAACCUCAAGAAAAGGAUUGGCUUUGAAGACUUGGCAUGAGGGUCCCAGUUUCAAACCUAUUGACUACUGAUGCACUGGGAACAAACUGGGAAUGGCUCCCUCUUGGGCCUUCCCUAGGUGAUGAACUGUCGACUUAGAAUUGGUAUGGGCAAGGGGAAUUUGACUAUUUAACUAAAACAAAGCAUUGCGAUGGUCCCUGCGGAUGCUCAUGCAAUGUGAUUUUUGCCCAAUGCUCUAAAUGUCAAAAUGAGAAAAUUUAGCCAAGUGCGAAUAAAUGGUAGGAGUAACUAUGACUCUCUUAAGGUAACCAAAUGCCUCAUCAUUUAAUUUGUGAUAUGCAUGAAUGGAUUAAUGAGAUUCCCACUAUUCCUGUCUACUAUCUAGUGAAACCACAACUAAUGAAUGGGCUUGGCAGAAUCAAUGGGGAAAGAAGACUCGGUUGAGCUUGACUCUAGUAUGACUUUUUGAAAUGACUUGUGAGGUGUAGCAUAAGUGGGAGCCAUUGGGUGAAAUUGAAAUACCACUACUUUUAAUGUUAAGUUACUUAUUCUGUGAAUCUAAGGUGGGUCAUGACCCUUUCUUUUGGACUCAAGGUUGACCUCAGUUGAUUGAUCUAGGCAAAAAGCAUUGUUGGGUAAGGAGUUUGGUUAGGGUGGCACAUCUAUUAAAAGAUAACUCAAGUGUCCUAAGAUGAGCUCAAUGAGAAUAAAAAUCUUGUAUGGAACAAAAGGGUAAAAGCUUGUUUGAUUUUGAUUUCCAGUAUGAAUACAAACCAUGAAAGUGUGGUCUAUCGAUCUUUUAGACCUUCAAAAUUUAAAGCUAGAGGUGUCAGAAAAGUUACCAUAGGAAUAAUUAGCUUGUGGCAGCCAAGCAUUCAUAUCAACGUUGCUUUUUGAUCCUUCGAUGUCGGCUCUUCCUUUCAUUAUGAAAUAGAAUUCACUAAGUCUUGGAUUGUUCACCUACUAAUAAGAAACAUGAGAUAGGUUUAGACCAUCAUGAGACAAGUUAGUUUUACCCUAUAGACAGCAACGUUGCAAUAGUAAUUCAACCUAGUAUAAGAAGAACUAUUGAUUUGCACAAUUGGUCAUCGUGCUUGGUAGAAAAGCCAGUGGUGCAAAGUUAUCAUGCGCUGCAUUAUAAUUGAGCACCUCUAAGUCAAAAUCUAGGCUAAAAGUGACACACAUGCCCAUCACCCAAUUGCUGACCCGUAAUAGAGGCCCAUGGCCCUCAAGGGCACAUGUUGUAGGUGUAGCCUUUAUGGCGGACAAGCCAUGUGGGCCUCUUUGGAGCUCAAUCCCCACUGAGUGGUAGGUAGAAUCCUUUUCA